Molecule: non-coding RNA, 682 nt
Organism: Bubalus bubalis (water buffalo)
Lineage: Eukaryota; Metazoa; Chordata; Mammalia; Artiodactyla; Bovidae
Source: the annotation of a RefSeq genome assembly
ACACAGCCCCGCCCCAGCCCACCCACUGGCCACCCUCAGGCACAGGGGCCUGAGCCAUUGCCCAGGGACGGGUGGGUAGGAGUCAUUUGAAUGAAUGGACCCUCCCCCUCUCAGGGUAUGAAGAGGGGAAGGAGCAGUGUGGGGACCCUCUGGUCAGCUGUGGGGCCACAGACGGCAGGACACCCUGACCGUGUCCACCAUGGCCUGGUUCCCUCUGCUCCUCACCCUGGGCCCUCUCUGUACAGGAUCCUGGGCCCAGGCUGUGCUGACUCAGCCGUCCUCCGUGUUUGGGACUUUGGGUCAGAGAGUCACCAUCUCUUGUACUGGAAGCAGCAACAACAUUGGGAGUUAUGUGAGCUGGUACCAACAGCUCUCAGGAAAGGCCCACAGACUCCUGACCUAUGAAAUUAGCAAACGACCCCCAGGGGUCCCAGAUCGAUUCUCUAGCUCCAAGCCUGACAACUCAGCCUCUCUGACCACCUCAGUUCAUGCUGAGGACGACACUGAUUAUUACUGUUUCUCAUGGGCUGACGGCUUGAAAGUUUGCACAGUGCUUCAGGCCAGAGAGAAGGAGACAAAAACCUGCUUCCCCCACAGCCAUGGGGCUCCCAGGGCAAGGUGUUGCCCCUCCCUUCCUGGAGUCCCUGAGACCACGGAACCCAGCUGUCUGGGUGCCCCCUGA